This 880-nucleotide ribosomal RNA is filed under the name Aerococcus urinaeequi. RNAcentral describes it as "bacterial SSU rRNA". It matches the Rfam family "Bacterial small subunit ribosomal RNA", at positions 68 to 919 of the family's 1533-position model. Lineage: Bacteria; Bacillati; Bacillota; Bacilli; Lactobacillales; Aerococcaceae. The record is from RNAcentral.
GAUCCUGGCUCAAUAGUCGAAAUGCUGGAACCUCAGACGUUAGCGGCGAACGGGUGAGUAACACGUAAGGAAUCUACCUAUAAGCGGGGGAUAACAUUCGGAAACGGGUGCUAAUACCGCAUAAUAUCUUCUUCCGCAUGGAAGAAGAUUGAAAGACGGCUCUGCUGUCACUUAUAGAUGACCUUGCGGUGCAUUAGUUAGUUGGUGGGGUAAUGGCCUACCAAGACGAUGAUGCAUAGCCGACCUGAGAGGGUGAUCGGCCACAUUGGGACUGAGACACGGCCCAAACUCCUACGGGAGGCAGCAGUAGGGAAUCUUCCGCAAUGGGCGAAAGCCUGACGGAGCAAUGCCGCGUGAGUGAAGAAGGCCUUCGGGUCGUAAAACUCUGUUAUAAGAGAAGAACAAAUUGUAGAGUAACUGCUACAGUCUUGACGGUAUCUUAUCAGAAAGCCACGGCUAACUACGUGCCAGCAGCCGCGGUAAUACGUAGGUGGCAAGCGUUGUCCGGAUUUAUUGGGCGUAAAGGGAGCGCAGGUGGUUUCUUAAGUCUGAUGUGAAAGCCCACGGCUUAACCGUGGAGGGUCAUUGGAAACUGGGAAACUUGAGUACAGAAGAGGAAUGUGGAACUCCAUGUGUAGCGGUGGAAUGCGUAGAUAUAUGGAAGAACACCAGUGGCGAAGGCGACAUUCUGGUCUGUUACUGACACUGAGGCUCGAAAGCGUGGGGAGCAAACAGGAUUAGAUACCCUGGUAGUCCACGCCGUAUACGAUGAGUGCUAGGUGUUGGAGGGUUUCCGCCCUUCAGUGCCGCAGUUAACGCAUUAAGCACUCCGCCUGGAGAGUACGACCGCAAGGUUGAAACUCAAAGGAAUUGACGGGGA